AUUGAACGCUGGCGGCAUGCUUUACACAUGCAAGUCGAACGGUAACAGGCCUUCGGGUGCUGACGAGUGGCGAACGGGUGAGUAAUGCAUCGGAACGUACCCAGUGGUGGGGGAUAACGCAGCGAAAGCUGUGCUAAUACCGCAUGUGCUCUGAGGAUGAAAGCGGGGGACCGAGCAGCAAUGUUUGGCCUCGCGCCUUUGUAGCGGCCGAUGUCGGAUUAGCUAGUUGGUGGGGUAAAGGCCUACCAAGGCGACGAUCCGUAGCUGGUCUGAGAGGACGACCAGCAACACUGGGACUGAGACACGGCCCAGACUCCUACGGGAGGCAGCAGUGGGGAAUUUUGGACGAUGGGCGCAAGCCUGAUCCAGCAAUGCCGCGUGCGGGAAGAAGGCCUUCGGGUUGUAGACCGCUUUUGGCAGGAGCGAAACGGUGUCCGCUAAUACCGGGCGCUAAUGACGGUACCUGCAGAAUAAGCACCGGCUAACUACGUG
RNAcentral lists this ribosomal RNA (492 nucleotides) under uncultured bacterium. RNAcentral's name for it is "partial 16S ribosomal RNA". It matches the Rfam family "Bacterial small subunit ribosomal RNA", at positions 29 to 507 of the family's 1533-position model. The record is from RNAcentral.